GACGAACGCUGGCGGCACGCCUAACACAUGCAAGUCGAGCGGUUCGGAGAUUGGAACUGAGGGAUUAAGGAAUUAAUCUCUGAGCUCCAAUUUCCGGAUAGCGGCGGACGGGUGAGUAACACGUGAGGAACCUGCCUUUCAGAGGGGGAUAACGUUUGGAAACGAACGCUAAUACCGCAUGAAGUAUGUUUACGGCAUCGUAGAUAUACCAAAGGAGCAAUCCGCUGAAAGAUGGCCUCGCGGCUGAUUAGCUAGUUGGCGGGGUAACGGCCCACCAAGGCGACGAUCAGUAGCCGGACUGAGAGGUUGAACGGCCACAUUGGGACUGAGACACGGCCCAGACUCCUACGGGAGGCAGCAGUGGGGGAUAUUGCACAAUGGGCGAAAGCCUGAUGCCGCGAUGCCGCGUGGAGGAAGAAGGUCUUCGGAUUGUAAACUCCUGUCUUUAGGGACGAUAAUGACGGUACCUAAGGAGGAAGCUCCGGCUAACUACGUGCCAGCAGCCGCGGUAAUACGUAGGGAGCGAGCGUUGUCCGGAAUUACUGGGUGUAAAGGGAGCGUAGGCGGGGCGGCAAGUCAGGUGUGAAAUACGGCAGCUCAACUGUCGCAGUGCCUUUGAUACUGAUAGGCUUGAAUGCGGAUGAGGUAGGCGGAAUGAGACAAGUAGCGGUGAAAUGCAUAGAUAUGUCUCAGAACUCCGAUUGCGAAGGCAGCUUACUAAGUCGUGAUUGACGCUGAUGCACGAAAGCGUGGGGAUCAAACAGGAUUAGAUACCCUGGUAGUCCACGCAGUAAACGAUGAUUACUGGCUGUUUGCGAUACAAUGUAAGCGGCUGAGCGAAAGCGUUAAGUAAUCCACCUGGGGAGUACGUUCGCAAGAAUGAAACUCAAAGGAAUUGACGGGGGCCCGCACAAGCGGAGGAACAUGUGGUUUAAUUCGAUGAUACGCGAGGAACCUUACCCGGGCUCGAACGGUGCAUGAAUGUUCAAGAGAUUGGAUAGUCCUUCGGGACAUGUAUCGAGGUGCUGCAUGGUUGUCGUCAGCUCGUGCCGUGAGGUGUCGGCUUAAGUGCCAUAACGAGCGCAACCCUUGUCAUUAGUUACCAUCAGGUAAAGCUGGGGACUCUGGCGAGACUGCCAUCGUAAGAUGCGAGGAAGGUGGGGAUGACGUCAAGUCAGCAUGACCUUUAUAUCUGGGGCUACACACACGCUACAAUGGUCGGUACAAUGCGUUGCCAAGCCGCGAGGCGGAGCUAAUCGCAGCAAAACCGGCCUCAGUUCGGAUAGGAGGCUGCAACCCGCCUCCUUGAAGUCGGAGUUGCUAGUAAACGCCGGUCAGCUAUACGGCGUUGAAUACGUUCCCGGGCCUUGUACACACCGCCCGUCACGUCAUGGGAGCUGGUAACACCUGAAGUCGGUGCGCCAACCGCAAGGAGGCAGCUGCCGAGGGUGGGACUGGUGACUGGGACG
This 1469-nucleotide ribosomal RNA is filed under the name uncultured bacterium. RNAcentral's name for it is "partial 16S ribosomal RNA". It matches the Rfam family "Bacterial small subunit ribosomal RNA". The record is from RNAcentral.